CUGUGAUUCUAUCUAUGACCUCAUUUAAGGGUUGGCGGUGGAGGUAAGGGUAUCCUGCUGGAGGUUCCUGCCUACCUGAGGCCUUCCAAGGGAACUCCGGGCUGAUGUGGAGAAGGGCAGGGGAAAAUUGCCUCCCGGAUGAGGUAUACGGCAAGAGCAGUUACAAAGAACCGCUUUACCCAGAGAAAGCCUGAUGCAGCACCAAACAGCCCCCUGGCCCUAAGAUACCAUAGGAACCUCUGAGGCUCCACACUGUCCACUGGAGAGAACCCCAGACCAACAGGCAAAGAGACAGAGAGAUUGGUUUUGAGCACGUGCUUUGUAAGGAGGUACCUUCGGAGAGACCCAUGCUGAAGGAGAUCGCCAAUGUGAGAGAUGUUCUACAGACAAACGUAUUGAAAGGAAUGGCUGGGAAGAGGUGCACACAGUGGUGCUGCAGGAUUUUAUUUCCCAUGUCAGAAUCACGUGGCUUACAUCGGUUAGGUGUUUCCCAGGGCUGGGAGCUCUUUACAGGAUUGCUCCUUUGUAGCUGUCUGAGCAGCAUCCAAAAACAUGGCACUUCCCUCUCAGAGGGGACCUCUGCAUAGCCCGUCUCUACAAAUGCAUACUGAGGUUACUUGGGCUGCUUGUAAGCCAGACAAAGCCACUGCAUGUGGGGAGCUAUAUGAAUGCCAUGGCGUUAAAAUCCAAGCUGGUUUCAAUUUGUUCUCACUUGUGCAACUGGGACACAUCUCAGAGGCGUGUGACAACUCAUCCCAGUGGUCUCCAGAUGGACAAAAUGUGGUGCCCAGGAAAGGAGUUUCCAUGUUGCCCUCUGCAUGCGAGCUGAGGGUGUCCUCUGUGUCAGGGUACAGCAGGAGAACCCUCACCCUGCGCCUUGCAGUAACUCUAUGGCCUGCUGCCUUUACUCAGAGUGGUGAGGAUGCACGCUCUGUGU
Gallus gallus (chicken) is the source of this 937-nucleotide long non-coding RNA. The record is from Ensembl. Lineage: Eukaryota; Metazoa; Chordata; Aves; Galliformes; Phasianidae.